GACGAACGCUGGCGGCGCGCUUAACACAUGCAAGUCGAACGGAAAGGCCUGCUUUCCCUUGUGGAUUGCGGGUACUCGAGUGGCGAACGGGUGAGUAACACGUGAGUGAUCUGCCCCCAACUUGGGUAUAAGCCUGGGAAACUGGGUCUAAUUCCCGAUAGGACUGCAGGGUGGUGCCUGUGGUGGAAAAUGAUUUUCUAGUGGUUGGGGAUGAGCUCGCGGCCUAUCAGCUUGUUGGUGGGGUAAUGGCCUACCAAGGCGGCGACGGGUAGCCGGCCUGAGAGGGUGGACGGCCACAUUGGGACUGAGAUACGGCCCAGACUCCUACGGGAGGCAGCAGUGGGGAAUAUUGCACAAUGGGCGGAAGCCUGAUGCAGCGACGCCGCGUGGGGGAUGACGGCCUUCGGGUUGUAAACUCCUUUCGACCGCGAGGAAGCCACCUGGUUGGAAGGGUGGUGACGGUAGUGGUAGAAGAAGCACCGGCUAACUACGUG
RNAcentral lists this ribosomal RNA (494 nucleotides) under uncultured bacterium. Its description in RNAcentral is "partial 16S ribosomal RNA". It matches the Rfam family "Bacterial small subunit ribosomal RNA", at positions 28 to 507 of the family's 1533-position model. The record is from RNAcentral.